This 1102-nucleotide long non-coding RNA is filed under the name Gossypium barbadense (sea-island cotton). Its description in RNAcentral is "long non-coding RNA (GBAR_LNC020235)". Lineage: Eukaryota; Viridiplantae; Streptophyta; Magnoliopsida; Malvales; Malvaceae. The record is from RNAcentral.
UGCACACUCACAGCUUCAUAAAGGGAAAAAAAGAAGAGGGAAAAUCCUGAAAAUAAUACAUUUUCCUUUCUGAUAAGCUUGCAACCUUCAACAGGAUCAAAACCAGUAGGCAGAUUUCCACUUGGGAUUGGCUUUAUCUGCAAAAUAGAAAAGUUCCAUGGAUUGUGAUGCGCAAUUCCAGUAUUACAAUUGAAAAAAAUAAGGUAAAAUUGAAAAAACAUGAAGCUGAAGAUCUGUUGUUAAUUGUGAUGCACAAGUCCAGUAUUACAAUUUCAGGCAUCAUAAAAUGUUUUGUAAAACUAUCCAGGCACUCACACAUUUGGCAGCACAUAAAGCAUAAGAAAGGAAACUCUAUGAGAGGUUUACAUGAAGCAUGCUUCACUCAGUAAUACCAUAUACGAUGUCAUAAUAGGCAAAUCAUACAUGAUAUAUUUGUCACUAGAUCUUACAGAAGUGAAACUAACAUGCUAAAGCUGCCCAUCGAUUGAUCCAAGCCCAAAUUUACACCCAAUUUCUAGUGAAACUGAGCUGAGACAAUAACUACAUCAUAAUCUAACACUAUGCUCCAGCACCAGCAAUUUCCAUUGGAUCAAUAUUGCAGAUACCAUAAUUGCACUUAUAGAUUCUAGAAACUCGUACUUCUUUUUUGCUUCAAUAUUCAUUAGAGAAUUUACCUGUUUUCCUUAAACCAAAAAGAAAAGUCACGAAAUCGUGCAUGAAAUAUAACGAGAAUUGAACAUAAAUAAGCAGGGAGUUUCACAGCCUAAGUGAACAUACUAAAUUGAAGCGGGUUCUUUCAAAAGCAGAUUUUGAAUUCUCUAGUUACUUACGGGAUCUUGGAAAGAAUGCUCAAGAUUUGCACCUAAAACAUCUAAUAUUUGCACCUAAUAUUCAAGAUUUCACCUAGUGGACUCGGAGGUAUUUAAAAUUUUAUCAAUGCAGAUCAGUAUAAGCUAUCAGAUACUGGAGACAACAGAAUAGAUACCUAAGCAGAAAAGACCAGAUUGUGUAAACAUUCCAUCGAGGUAACUAGAAACAUACUUUUUCAUAUUAAGGUGAGCAAAGAGAACGAAUCAAGCACAUAAGUUUUCAAGAAAAAGGC